UGCAGUCGAGCGGUAGAGAGGUGCUUGCAUCUCUUGAGAGCGGCGGACGGGUGAGCAAUGCCUAGGAAUCUGCCUGGUAGUGGGGGAUAACGUCCGGAAACGGACGCUAAUACCGCAUACGUCCUACGGGAGAAAGCAGGGGACCUUCGGGCCUUGCGCUAUCAGAUGAGCCUAGGUCGGAUUAGCUAGUUGGUGAGGUAAAGGCUCACCAAGGCGACGAUCCGUAACUGGUCUGAGAGGAUGAUCAGGCACACUGGAACUGAGACACGGUCCAGACUCCUACGGGAGGCAGCAGUGGGGAAUAUUGGACAAUGGGCGAAAGCCUGAUCCAGCCAUGCCGCGUGUGUGAAGAAGGUCUUCGGAUUGUAAAGCACUUUAAGUUGGGAGGAAGGGUACUUACCUAAUACGUGAGUAUUUUGACGUUACCGACAGAAUAAGCACCGGCUAACUCUGUGCCAGCAGCCGCGGUAAUACAGAGGGUGCAAGCGU
Molecule: ribosomal RNA, 489 nt
Filed under: Pseudomonas chlororaphis
Lineage: Bacteria; Pseudomonadati; Pseudomonadota; Gammaproteobacteria; Pseudomonadales; Pseudomonadaceae
Description: bacterial SSU rRNA
Rfam family: Bacterial small subunit ribosomal RNA
Source: RNAcentral